GGAGGAGGGCAGCCAAGAUGGCUGAAUAGGAACAGCUCCAGUCUACAGCUCCCAGCGUGAGCGAUGCAGAAGACGGGUGAUUUCUGCAUUUCCAUUUGAGGUACCGGGUUCAUCUCACUAGGGAGUGCCAGACAGUGGGUGCAGGACAGUGGGUGCAGUGCACCAGCCUAACCGGGAGGCACCCCCAACUAUGGGCAGACUGACACCUCACACG
Molecule: long non-coding RNA, 214 nt
Filed under: Homo sapiens (human)
Lineage: Eukaryota; Metazoa; Chordata; Mammalia; Primates; Hominidae
Description: HSALNT0312974
Source: RNAcentral